AUUGUACGCUGGCGGCAGGCUUAACACAUGCAAGUCGAGCGGGGUGAUGGUGCUUGCACUAUCACUUAGCGGCGGACGGGUGAGUAAUGCUUAGGAAUCUGCCUAUUAGUGGGGGACAACAUCUCGAAAGGGAUGCUAAUACCGCAUACGUCCUACGGGAGAAAGCAGGGGAUCACUUGUGACCUUGCGCUAAUAGAUGAGCCUAAGUCGGAUUAGCUAGUUGGUGGGGUAAAGGCCUACCAAGGCGACGAUCUGUAGCGGGUCUGAGAGGAUGAUCCGCCACACUGGGACGGAGACACGGCCCAGACUCCUACGGGAGGCAGCAGUGGGGAAUAUUGGACAAUGGGGGGAACCCUGAUCCAGCCAUGCCGCGUGUGUGAAGAAGGCCUUAUGGUUGUAAGGCACUUUAAGCGAGGAGGAGGCUCUUUUGGUUAAUACCCAAGAUGAGUGGACGUUACUCGCAGAAUAAGCACCGGCUAACUCUGUGCCAGCCGCCGCAGUAA
This 503-nucleotide ribosomal RNA is filed under the name uncultured bacterium. RNAcentral describes it as "partial 16S ribosomal RNA". It matches the Rfam family "Bacterial small subunit ribosomal RNA", at positions 30 to 523 of the family's 1533-position model. The record is from RNAcentral.